RNAcentral lists this ribosomal RNA (30 nucleotides) under Ustilago cynodontis. RNAcentral describes it as "partial 18S ribosomal RNA". The record is from RNAcentral. RNAcentral also lists the same sequence under 2 other names. Lineage: Eukaryota; Fungi; Basidiomycota; Ustilaginomycetes; Ustilaginales; Ustilaginaceae.
UCCGUAGGUGAACCUGCGGAUGGAUCAUUU